GACGAACGCUGGCGGCGUGCUUAACACAUGCAAGUCGAACGGAAAGGCCCUGCCUUUGUGGGGUUCUCGAGUGGCGAACGGGUGAGUAACACGUGAGUAACCUGCCCUUGACUUUGGGAUAACUUCAGGAAACUGGGGCUAAUACCCGAUAGGAGCUCCUGCGGCAUGGUGGGGGUUGGAAAGCUUAGGCGGUUGGGGUUGGACUUGCGGCUUAUCAGCUUGUUGGUGGGGUAGUGGUUUACCAAGGCUUUGACGGAUAGCCGGCCUGAGAGGGUGACCGGCCACAUUGGGACUGAGAUACGGCCCAGACGCCUACGGGAGGCAGCAGUGGGGAAUAUUGCACAAUGGGCGGAAGCCUGAUGCAGCAACGCCGCGUGCGGGAUGACGGCCUUCGGGUUGUGAACCGCUUUCGCCUGUGACGAAGCGUGAGUGACGGUAAUGGGUAAAGAAGCACCGGCUAACUACGUG
Molecule: ribosomal RNA, 468 nt
Filed under: uncultured bacterium
Lineage: Bacteria
Description: partial 16S ribosomal RNA
Rfam family: Bacterial small subunit ribosomal RNA
Source: RNAcentral